RNAcentral lists this long non-coding RNA (1469 nucleotides) under Equus asinus (donkey). RNAcentral describes it as "lncRNA (ENSEASG00005035237.1)". Lineage: Eukaryota; Metazoa; Chordata; Mammalia; Perissodactyla; Equidae. The record is from RNAcentral.
GGCACUUCCUAGUUGCCUUCAGAUCAAAAUAAUCCUUAUGCCAAAGUGACAAAUUUUGGGGUGACACAUCCUGAUCUCCUUUGUUUCCCCUGCCUGAAUCUUUACAGGAACUUUCACAUAUCAAAGGCCAAGUUGGUAGCUGUGGAGAGAGAUUUACGCUAGAAGUUGCAGGGCAAGAGAUCUGCAAAGGGGGAAGAACAUCAACCGAAACAAGAAUAAAUCAGCAGGAAAGAACAAAUCUUAGCAGAUGCCCCCUCUCCCGUGAAAUCAGCCCCAGUCUCUGGGUCCUGGGAGUGAAGUACUUUGGCCUGUAGCUGAUUGCAAGAGCCUUCAGGAAAGCAUAAGAAUAAAAUGAUAACUGUCUGUGAAUGACAAAAGACUUAAAGUGGCCAUGGUUGAAGAUCUGAUGAGAGUUCAUUUUAACUCAACUGACAAGGAAAUUUUGUUGCUUCUGUGACAUCCAACAUUUUAAGAUAAUAAGUAGAAUUAUGACUGAUAACAUUAUACCAGGACACGUCAUGAACGGCAAGCUGCGACUUCACCGUGUGGCCCCAGGUGUGCUGUGUAUCCUCCGUGAUCUCUUAACCAUGGAUGCAAGAGGCAUCUCCAAAGAGAGUGCAAAAGAUGCAGCCACACGAUCCAGAGUCACUCCCACAGACAGCCGCAGAAGACAGAUGUCAAUGAACACCCUGAGAGCUGGCAACAAUCAAUGAGAUGGCAGCCACAAUAUUUCUGUUCAGCUAACUACAAAUUUUGGGGUCCCCCAACCUGAUAGUUGGCUGCCUAUAGAUGCAGCCCUGACAACCCGGUGCCCCCGGCAGGCAGAAAGUCAAAUCAAGCUUUCAGACAUAAAAUGAGGCAAACAGGAAAGCAAUGGCUGUCCCUGGGAAAGAAAGAAUCAAUGACCCAUGAGUACUCAAGACCAAGAGUCACCCAAGAGUAAUACCCAAAGAAGUAGAUCCUUCCAGUGUUUUCUCCUGGACGAGGAGCGCUCUUACUGCCCUCAUCUGAUCAGACUCCAAGCAAAAUUCCGAGAGGCUGACUUGGUAAGAUUUUUCACUUUUGGCAAGCUUUGUCCAGCAUCCUGAGUUCUCAGCUACGAAAUGAUUGGGGUGUCCCAGCUGUCCUUUUGUGGUCACCAGAACUCCAGAGGGGGAAGAAUCCCACCUUUUCCUCUACUCUCUGAGGUUCAGUGGCUGAGGCCUGUGAAGCCACAAAAGACAGAUUCACAGGAGACAAGGUUUAUUUUGCCUGCAUACAGAGGCUUCCCAGAAAGCAAGUGAAAACCUAGAGAAGCGGGUAGGCCCCAGGGGCUUAUAGACCAUUUUUAUAAAGGGUGAUAAGUUGUGGAGAAGAGACCAGACAAAGGAAAAGAGGGCUUUGGUAGCUGUGGGAAGGUGACUAGGAAAUGUGUGGUAAACAAGGGUUGUUUAGUAAGGUUUGUCAGGCAGUCUCAAGACAUCUCAGGC